CAGAAAGACAGAUCUAUUUGAAGGAAUUGGCCCUGAUAGUGGAGACUUGCGAAUCUAAAAUCUUCAGGGGGUCUAGCAGUCUGGAGAUCCAGGGAGGUUUUUUGGCAGAACUGCCUUUUCUUCAGAGGAGUUCUUAAAAAGGAAACAGAUGGAUCAUGGCAGACGACAGAGAACUACGGCAUAAUUAAGCAUGUGAAAACUCAAUUGCAGCUCUGUGCUGGAUGUAAUAUCAUUACCAGAAGAGAUCAAUACCUACUGUAACUUUUGGUAAGCUUUUAUUGAUCUGGAAGAUACGUCCUUUUUAAUCGCACAAAGAGUGUAAAUGUAGUAGUUCAAAUUCACCUAGGAAAAUAUAGACAACACUCACUAUCGUAUCACAGGGGUAGACUACCUCCAUCCUCUCUAGAAGAAGAUACCGUUUUCAUCUUGGCAUUCAACAGAGCAUCAUUGUGGCCCUCUAUUGUAAUAAUAUUGUGUAAAUUGGAUUUGGUGAGCAGACCAUGGCAAAUAAUUUCCUAGCAAACAUGGCUGCCAAGAGUCAGAGAUAAAACCUAUAAUCAUAAUUACACUGCCAUAUUGGUUAUUACUUUAGUGAUUUAAUGAUCUAGUCCACAUCAGAAUAUGUACUCUAAACUCAAGGUCAAGUUAUUUUUCUUUGUACCUACUACCUCCAACAAAAAGGCACAGUCUUGUGUGGAACUUCUUGGAUUUUGGAGGAAGAAUAUAUCAUGUUUAAGAAUAUUGUUUUAGCCUAUUAGUUAGAUAAUUCUUAAGGCUGUCAGUUUUGAGGUUCAUAGAAAAAGAACUCUUAGGAAUAGAUUUAGCUCUGUUGCUACUUGACCAUGAGACCUAGAAGAUUCUAUGUUAAUAACCAAACUGUAGAGUUUCUAUGAAGUGUUGAAACAUGCUUUUUAAAAUUUAUUCAUUUUAUUUUUAUAGAUUCAGUGGGUAUAUAUGCAGAUUUGUCACAUGGAUAUAUUGUGGAAAGCUGAGAUUUGGGCUUCUAAUGUUCCUAUUACCUGAAUAAUGAACAUUGUAUCCAGUAGGUAAUUUUUCAACUCUCAAGUCCCUCCCAAGCCCCUCUUUUAAAGUCCCCAGCCUUGACUAUUUUUCUCUGUUUGUACAUGUCUCCCAUUUAUAAGUGAGAACAUGUGGUAUUUGAUGUUGUGUUUCUGAGUAUUUUGACCUCCAGUUACAUCCAUGUUGCUGCAGAAGACAUAAUUUUUUUUCUACGGAUGUGUAGUAUUUCAUGGUAUUCCACAUUUUCUUUAUCCAAUCAUCUUUUGAUGGAAACUUAGGUUCAUUCCAUGACUUUGUUACUGCGACUAGUGCAGUGAUAAACAUAUGAGUGCAGAUAUAUAUAUAUAACAAUUUCUCUUUCUUUGGGUAGAUACCCAGUAGUGGGAUUGCUGGGCCUAAUGGUGGUUCUAUUUUUACUUCUUUGAGAAAUCUCUAUACUGUUGUCCAUAGAGGUUGUACUAAUUCAUAUUCGCACCAACGGUGUAUAAGUGCUCCCUUUUCUCUGCAUCUUUGUCGACAUCUGUGGUUUUUUGACUUUUUAAUAAUGGCCAUUCCGACCGGUGUGAUGUGGCAUCUCAUUGUGGUUUUAACUUGCAUUUCACUGACGGUUAGUGAUAUUGAGCAUUUUAUUUUAUGUUUCUUGUCCUCUUGUAUAUCUUCUUUUGAGAAAUGUCUGUUCCUAUCUUUUCCCCACUUGUUAAUGAGAUUAUUUUUUCUUGUUGAGUUUAGUUCCUUGUAGAUUCUGGAUUUUAGUCCUUUGUUAGAUGCAUAGUAACAGGCAUUCCUGAGGGAGAAAAAGAAGAAAAAUUAAAAUAUCUGGAAAACAUUCUGGAUAGGAUAAU
Molecule: long non-coding RNA, 1862 nt
Filed under: Homo sapiens (human)
Lineage: Eukaryota; Metazoa; Chordata; Mammalia; Primates; Hominidae
Description: HSALNT0323403
Source: RNAcentral